RNAcentral lists this transfer RNA (71 nucleotides) under Bacteroidales bacterium. Its description in RNAcentral is "tRNA-Val". It matches the Rfam family "tRNA". From Rfam's summary of the family: Transfer RNA (tRNA) molecules are approximately 80 nucleotides in length. Their secondary structure includes four short double-helical elements and three loops (D, anti-codon, and T loops). Lineage: Bacteria; Pseudomonadati; Bacteroidota; Bacteroidia; Bacteroidales. The record is from RNAcentral.
UGGCGGAUAGUCUAGUGGUUAGGACAACAGUGACAAUGUGGCUGUCACGGGUUCGAAUCCCGUUCCGCCAA